GACGAACGCUGGCGGCGUGCUUAACACAUGCAAGUCGAACGGAAAGGCCCUGCUUUUGUGGGGUGCUCGAGUGGCGAACGGGUGAGUAACACGUGAGUAACCUGCCCUUGACUUUGGGAUAACUUCAGGAAAUUGGGGCUAAUACCGGAUAGGAGCUCCUGCUGCAUGGUGGGGGUUGGAAAGUUUCGGCGGUUGGGGAUGGACUCGCGGCUUAUCAGCUUGUUGGCGGGGUAGUGGCUUACCAAGGCUUUGACGGGUAGCCGGCCUGAGAGGGUGACCGGCCACAUUGGGACUGAGAUACGGCCCAGACUCCUACGGGAGGCAGCAGUGGGGAAUAUUGCACAAUGGGCGGAAGCCUGAUGCAGCAACGCCGCGUGCGGGAUGACGGCCUUCGGGUUGUAAACCGCUUUCGCCUGUGACGAAGCGUGAGUGACGGUAAUGGGUAAAGAAGCACCGGCUAACUACGUG
This 468-nucleotide ribosomal RNA is filed under the name uncultured bacterium. RNAcentral describes it as "partial 16S ribosomal RNA". It matches the Rfam family "Bacterial small subunit ribosomal RNA", at positions 28 to 507 of the family's 1533-position model. The record is from RNAcentral.